AUGGGUCGCGGGAAGAUCGAGAUCAAGCGGAUCGAGAACGCCACGAACCGGCAGGUGACCUUCUCCAAGCGCCGGGGCGGGCUGCUCAAGAAGGCCAACGAGCUCGCCGUGCUCUGCGACGCGCGCGUCGGCGUCGUCAUCUUCUCCAGCACCGGCAGGAUGUUCGAGUACUCCAGCCCCGCCUCCAGCUUGAGGGAUCUCAUUGAGCAGUACCAGAACGCCACCAACAGUCAGUUCGAGGAGAUUAACCACGAUCAGCAAAUAUUUGUGGAGAUGACACGGAUGAGGAACGAGAUGGAGAAGCUGGAUGGCGCCAUCCGGAGGUACACGGGCGACGACCUCUCCUCCCUCUCCCUCGCCGACGUCAACGACAUCGAGCAGCAGCUCGAGUUCUCCGUCGCCAAAGUCCGUGCAAGAAAGCAUCAGCUCCUGAACCAGCAGCUCGACAACUUACGUCGCAAGGAGCAUAUCUUGGAAGAUCAGAACAGUUUUCUGUGCCGCAUGAUCAGCGAGAACCAGCAUGGUGGUGACGGGAAGAUGGCGGUGAUGCCGCCGGUGCUGUCGAUGCUGACGCCGGCCUUCCCGGCGACGCCGUACUACACGGGCGAGGAGUCGUCGAGCACCGCGCUGCAGUUGACGUCCCCGCAGCUUCAGCUCCACGCCGCCGAAGCCGCCGGGUUCCGGCUGCAGCCGACGCAGCCCAACCUGCAAGACCCGGCGUGCAGCAGCCUCCACGCCGGCCACGGCCUCCACCUCUGA
RNAcentral lists this ribosomal RNA (759 nucleotides) under Triticum aestivum (bread wheat). RNAcentral's name for it is "partial small subunit ribosomal RNA". The record is from RNAcentral. Lineage: Eukaryota; Viridiplantae; Streptophyta; Magnoliopsida; Poales; Poaceae.